Antechinus flavipes (yellow-footed antechinus) is the source of this 2794-nucleotide long non-coding RNA. RefSeq lists it as uncharacterized. The transcript is spliced from 3 exons. Lineage: Eukaryota; Metazoa; Chordata; Mammalia; Dasyuromorphia; Dasyuridae. The record is from RefSeq and is a predicted model, not a curated record.
CUGUUAUGUCAUUUAUUUUACUUAAAUGUUUUUAUUGAAAAGGAAAGUUCAGUUGGAGAGGACUUCAAGAAAAGAUUAAGAAAUGACAACCAUAGUUUUUUUUUUUUUUUUAAAGGCAAUUUUUUCCCCUUAAAAAUAUGUGCCAAUUUAGCCAUUUACAUAUUGCACCCUGUCCUGACAUAGAUAAAAUCCUUGAGAGCAAGGACUAUUUUUAAAAGUUUUGACUUUGUAUUUCCAGGGCCUAGUAGCAGUUGAAAAAGUACUAGACCUCUAGAUAAUCUGGGUCCAAGUCCUGGCUUCCACAUUUCCUAGUUGUUGGAUGUCACUCCUGGGAAAAAAAAAAUCUAUCUGUUAAAUGGGGAUGCUAUCUUUUGUACCUCCCUGAUUUGUUGUGAGGGGAGCACUCUGUAAACUUUUAUUAAUUCUAGGUGUAUUUAUUAUUAUGUUGCAUAUAUGCUUUCUAAAAUCCAUUUCGUGUAAACUUGUGCAGGGGUGUUCUAGGUCACAGAACAGGGCAGCUGAAGUUCUCCUGAAUCAAAGUAAUACUCUAGAAAGUCUCUCCCUAGAAAGAGAAACUAGCAGACACCCAAACAGGCAGCUCUGAAUUACUGCCCGAAUGGUAAGGGCUUCAUAUUUCAAUGAUCAGGGGUAUGGUCCAAUCAGCAAACAAACCCCAUGUACUGCUAGGGAUCAGCAAAUAGGCUGUGUCCCAGCCAUGCACAUGACUCAAUUUGCUUCUGUCCAUCAUCUAGGUCAUAUGUAGUUCAAUUCAAGUAGAGCAGACAGACAGGGCUGCAAAGCUCUCUGGGGCAGUUCAAUAACCUUGUCUAGCCUAUAUCUGACUACCUGUUUUUCCCCCUUUCUUCUUUCUGGACAAACUCACAGCUCCAUCUUUCUCUUCACUGAAUCCCAGACUGGCCAGGAAUUCCCAGUCACAAGAGAUUCAGAGAAGUUGUUCUCAAUCUGUGCCAGCUUGAAGUUUGUUUGCUUUUUUGUGUAUGUGUUGUAUGUGGCUGCUUUUUUUUCCCUCCCCAUUUUGACAGAGAUCCAACUGUUCUUUAAAAAAAAAAAAAAAAAAAAAAAAAAGUCUUGCGUAACAGUUCGGGACUACUUCGAUUCUUUGCCUAGGUACCAAAGAGCAAAGAGUAGACACCAGAAGUUUAAGAACUCUGUCAUUUGCUGGCUGCCCACCACUCCCAUAGUUGAAGUAGAAGAGGCAUUCUGCUAAGGAAGUAAGUAUUCUACUUAGCCCAAUGGGGACAGAUUGAUAUAACAAAAAUACUAGAAUUGGGAGUUGGCCAACUUAACUCUGAACUGCAGUUAUAGUACUAACACAUAUGGCUACAGAUAGUUCGGUUUCCUUCUCAGAAGUUCAGAUUCAUCAUCCAAAGAAGCACUAGUAGUAGUUCAAAUUGAUAUAGCCCUUAAAGACAUACAGAUAGAUGAUACAGGUAGUAUUAUACCCAUUGUAUAAAUAAAAAAUAAAAAUAAAAGGUCAUAAGGAUAUAUAAUUUGCCCAGGUAGUUUAAGAGCAGACAUUCAAACUCCUGUCCCUUUCUUUUCUGUCCCUGCCCUUUCUACUGUAAAACACUGCAUUUCUAAAAUGGGAAAGAUAACACAAUACUGCUUGCAUUACAAAUCUCCAUUGUUGUCAAAAGAAUAUUAUACAUUUUAAAAGGGCCAUUCUGCUGUGAAUCACUAUAUCUCUCCACAGGGUAGAAUUUUUGAAAAACGAAUUAAGGUACCUCUCAGCAGGCAUAGUAGACAAGAGGUGAAGAAUGGAUAACAUAUUUCAGUCAUGGACAAAUGCAUGUUUGUUUUGCUUAACUGUACUGAAUUAUGAGAAAAUGUUUUAUUGAAGGGAGAACAACUUCAAAAGAAAAAUUUUAAAUGGUUUAUGAGAACCUCUUAAUCCCCUUUGUCAAGUAUACAGAAAUAAAACAAGUUAUGACUUGUAGGGUGUGGUAGGAGCUCUAGGAAUAUAUAUCUAAUUUUAAGUUUUAAGCAAAUAGUUUAGGUCAAAAUACUAUUUCAAUAUCUUCAUUGAAAUGGACAGAAGAACCCAUCAGAUAAGAAAGAGCUCUGAAUUUGUAGUCAAAAGACCCAAAUCUGAAACCCAUAUAAUGUGGACAAGUCAUUACUCCUCAGUGUCAGUUUCUUCAUCUGUAAAAUGAAAGGCUAAUCUCUAUCAUCCAUUCUAGUCCUACGAACAUGUAAAACUCCUAUCAUUUAAUAUUAUUAUAAUAUAGUUAUACUUCAAUAGACAGUUAAGUCUCCAUGAACUGCCACAAUCCAAAGAAAAAAUUAAAUCUUUAGGGAUAAAUCCUCUGGAAAUGAGGUUCUGAUAGAAUGUUUCUUGGACACAUAUAGUCCAUUUCCAGGCAGGCCCAUCCUCAAAGACUUGUUGUCUGGCAGAACUAAUCAAAGAUUACACUAUCCUAGCAUAAACCUACAAAAACCCAGUCACCUUCAUUCUUGAAAUAAGUUAUCAAAGGAUUACUUAAGUGAAGAUAGGGUUUAAAAUAGCCAAUAUAAAAAUGAAUGCGACGUUUUCAUAGUUGCCAAUCAGCACCAUGCAAAAAAAAGCAGCUCUCUCAGUAUUCUCUUCAAGUGUGACUGUUUAUCUAUAAUCUCACAGUCCUGCAAUUUAUUAGCUCUUUUCUAACACACAGUUCCAUUUCCAAAUUAAAACACUUGUGAUGUAAGUUCCUGAAAGGAAUAUGCAGCUAUCAACAAUCUUUCAAAUGGAAAAGAGAUGCAAGAAAAAAUAUAUAUGCACAAAGAGCAUAUGGAG